GAGUUUGAUCCUGGCUCAGGACGAACGCUGGCGGCACGCCUAGCACAUGCAAGUCGAACGGAGAUAUUUUGGUUUAMUGAGAUAUYUUAGUGGCGGACGGGUGAGUAACACGUGAGCAACCUGCCUYUGAGAGAGGGAUAGCUUCUGGAAACGGAUGGUAAUACCUCAUAACAUAACGAAGCCGCAUGACUUUGUUAUCAAAGAUUUAUCACUCAGAGAUGGGCUCGCGUCUGAUUAGAUAGUUGGUGAGGUAACGGCUCACCAAGUCGACGAUCAGUAGCCGGACUGAGAGGUUGAACGGCCACAUUGGGACUGAGACACGGCCCAGACUCCUACGGGAGGCAGCAGUGGGGAAUAUUGCACAAUGGGGGAAACCCUGAUGCAGCGAUGCCGCGUGGAGGAAGAAGGUUUUCGGAUUGUAAACUCCUGUCUAAAGGACGAUAAUGACGUACUAGAAGAG
RNAcentral lists this ribosomal RNA (460 nucleotides) under uncultured Bacillota bacterium. RNAcentral describes it as "bacterial SSU rRNA". Lineage: Bacteria; Bacillati; Bacillota. The record is from RNAcentral.